Molecule: long non-coding RNA, 1561 nt
Organism: Aedes albopictus (Asian tiger mosquito)
Lineage: Eukaryota; Metazoa; Arthropoda; Insecta; Diptera; Culicidae
Exons: 5
Source: RefSeq, a predicted model, not a curated record
GAGUGUUACGUUUAUGGAUAUUUGUAGCUUGAUGUGGGUUCAAUUAAUUAUUAGAACAAUCAAACAGUCAAAUCAUAUAAGAUGCUCCGCAAACGAAAAUUAGAAAACCCCUGCAAGAUCCCGAUAGCCACCACCAGCCAGCAAGCCAUCAUCGUUGCUGCACUCAAGCCACCGCGAAGCACACACACUACAGACGAACAUCAAUGAUUGAAAAUCAUGCCAGCUAAUGAUGAUCGGCAGUACAGAGCGAGACGAAGCGAAGAGAAGGCUUGCACACGGCGAAACGAGUGGUCUGACCCUAGCUCGUUCGGGUUCUACUGGUAUGCGUAAUACAGAAAGCACGACGACGCCAACCAACGAUCACACACGCAGGCAGACAACAAGAGAAGAGAAGACGUCGGCACGCAAGCCACAUUUCACCAUCGCAGGCUCAGGCCUCAGUCCUCGCAGAUCGUUCGCACACGUCGGUAAUCGAAACACCGGUGGUCGGUAGGCCCGUCGUUUGUCCACGGAGAGGAAACCGUUAGUUCCAACUGGGAAAGUCGCUGGGGCGGAAAACACCCCAACAUCGAUCAUCGUCGUUCUGAAGGGGCAUCUUGCGCGAAGUUGUCGCAAAAUUCCCAAGAUACCAACAAAAGUCACCUGAUGAAUGGAACACCGAUUGAAUAGCGACAAAACCACGUUUGGCUUGAUUCUUCCAAGCGAGCGAAGAGGAUUAAUCGACGGCGCUAGACCCGGUCGUUUCGUUCGACCACUUUCUACCACGUGGCGGCCCGACGACGAUUAGUACCUGGGGAGCUUGGACGCACGACGACGAACGGUCUGGGAAGGCGAUCACGCAUUCGAGUCGGAUAUUUGCUCUUUUGUAUGGCACGCUCAAUCGUACCCACGGAGGCAUCCGGACCAUAACCUCAACAAUAGCGAGUGCAGGUGCAUUGUCGCGGAAAACAGAGGCACAAACCACAAAACCCCUACAUAGGGGUUUUGUUUACUUACAGCUCUCAUCCAGAUCACGCGGGUACACCGCAGCGAAGGAAGAAGUGGCGUUUCAUCUUGCCAGCGGCGAGAAGAGCUGCGACCAGAGCGAUCGCACCACGGCGGGGCGAGCCACCGCGGUAUCGAAGACAAACGCUAGUUUUGAUCCAGUGCGACGUCGAAGCUGCGUCGAGAGAAGGAUUUGGUUUGGCCAGGCGGCGAGACGUGCGGCUGCCCUAGAGUGAACACCGUUAUCGUGCCAACGGGUGGAGCACUGAGAGUUUCGAGGGCAGAGCACACCGGCUGAGGCAACCACCGAAGACGAGAGGGUCAGCAUCCGGCCUGCGGGGUCCACUGAUGCGGCCGCAACUGGAGGACAGCUGUCGUCGAUAGAUUCGAAUGGCAACGGGCGCUGUGCUGGUGGCAGGCACCUCGAGCUGAACGUUCGUGAGUAGAACCCGUCAAAUUAGACUUAAGUAUAUGCGUGCAUGAUAUAAUUGCAACAAAACAGGAGUUAGGGCCAAUUUAGAAGGGGUAUGACCAAUGUAAGGGACAAUAUGGGUCGAGAAUAUAUGUAUUGAAAUGA